CUACUUACAGAGAGGUGACGAAAAUGACAUCCGAUCCAUCAAUUACUACCCAGAGUCGGCUUCUUUUGACCUCCGCUACUAUCCUUACUAUGGCAAACUGACUCAUCUCCGGGCUGACACGUGGCCCCUGACCGCUGAGGAGCGCAACAAGUUGCUGGUCGCGACCUCGCAGCGCAGGCAGCUGGAGGCCCAGAGGGAGGAGGCGCAGAAUGCUUCGUCAGGCGGUGUGCAGUACGCGCAAGGAGCCCAGGAUCCCUGGGCCCAGGUUUUUCAACCCCCAGCCCCCGUGCCAUGUCCCGGGCACAUGCCAUACCCCAUGCCCUUCCCAUACCCACCACCUCC
This 342-nucleotide long non-coding RNA is filed under the name Capra hircus (goat). RNAcentral describes it as "lncRNA (ENSCHIG00010028762.1)". The record is from RNAcentral. Lineage: Eukaryota; Metazoa; Chordata; Mammalia; Artiodactyla; Bovidae.